RNAcentral lists this small RNA (18 nucleotides) under Arabidopsis thaliana (thale cress). RNAcentral's name for it is "ATSL307310". The record is from RNAcentral. Lineage: Eukaryota; Viridiplantae; Streptophyta; Magnoliopsida; Brassicales; Brassicaceae.
UUUUUUUUUCCUUCUUCU